UCAGGGAGAGAGGAAGAAGAAAAGGAAUAGAGGGAAAGAAGGGAGGAGGAAGACAGAAGAGCAGAGAAAAACCUGUAAUUCUGGAAUUUUGGAAGACUCCUAUGAAUAUGCCUAGAAUUGUGACUCCUGCAGAAAAUAUUGGAAGCAAACCCGGCUCAUAUCAGGGCUCUGAUAUCAAUUUGUUACAUGUCAGCCUGCACACUUACUAAAACA
Molecule: unclassified non-coding RNA, 213 nt
Filed under: Hevea brasiliensis (rubber tree)
Lineage: Eukaryota; Viridiplantae; Streptophyta; Magnoliopsida; Malpighiales; Euphorbiaceae
Source: RNAcentral